GUCUACGGCCAUCCCACCCUGAAUUUGCCCGAUCAUAUCUGAUCUCGGAAGCUAAGCAGGGUCAGGCCUGGUUAGUACUUGGAUGGGAGACCCCCUUAGGAAGAUCAGGUGCUGUAGGUG
Ribosomal RNA from Pteropus vampyrus (large flying fox), 120 nucleotides. The record is from Ensembl. Lineage: Eukaryota; Metazoa; Chordata; Mammalia; Chiroptera; Pteropodidae.